GAUGAAGAAACGCAGCGAAAUGCGAUAAGUAAUGUGAAUUGCAGAAUUCAGUGAAUCAUCGAAUCUUUGAACGCACAUUGCGCCCCCUGGUAUUCCGGGGGGCAUGCCUGUUCGAGCGUCAUUUCAACCCUCAAGCUCUGCUUGGUAUUGAGUCCAUGUCAGCAAUGGCAGGCUCCAAAAUCAGUGGCGGCGCCGCUGGGUCCUGAACGUAGUAAUAUCUCUCGUUACAGGUGCUCGGCGUGCUUCUGCCAAAACCCCAAUUUUUCUAUGGUUGACCUCGGAUCAGGUAGGGAUACCCGCUGAACUUAAGCAUAUCAAUAAGCGGAGGA
This 329-nucleotide unclassified non-coding RNA is filed under the name soil metagenome. RNAcentral describes it as "partial contains 5.8S ribosomal RNA, internal transcribed spacer 2, and large subunit ribosomal RNA". The stretch from base 1 to 121 matches the Rfam family "5.8S ribosomal RNA", at positions 35 to 154 of the family's 154-position model. The record is from RNAcentral.